AGAGUCGAUCGGACAGUCGCUGCCGCCUUUUGUUCCGCAAUAAGGCGGGGGAGGAAAGUCCGGGCUCCGCAGGGCAGAGUGCCAGGUAACGCCUGGGGGGCGCGAGCCUACGGAAAGUGCCACAGAAAAUAACCGCCUAAGCGCUUCGGCGCCGGUAAGGGUGAAAAGGUGCGGUAAGAGCGCACCGCGCGGCUGGUAACAGUCCGUGGUCAAGGUAAACCCCACUCGGAGCAAGACCAAAUAGGGUUCCAUUAGGCGUGGCCCGCGCCGGAACCGGGUAGGUUGCUAAAGGUGUCCAGUGAUGGCCACCGUAGAGGAAUGACUGUCCUCGACAGAACCCGGCUUACAGAUCGGCUCUUCAC
This 362-nucleotide RNase P RNA is filed under the name Pseudomonas sp. URIL14HWK12:I10. Its description in RNAcentral is "Bacterial RNase P class A". It matches the Rfam family "Bacterial RNase P class A". From Rfam's summary of the family: Ribonuclease P (RNase P) is a ubiquitous endoribonuclease, found in archaea, bacteria and eukarya as well as chloroplasts and mitochondria. Its best characterised activity is the generation of mature 5'-ends of tRNAs by cleaving the 5'-leader elements of precursor-tRNAs. Cellular RNase Ps are ribonucleoproteins. Lineage: Bacteria; Pseudomonadati; Pseudomonadota; Gammaproteobacteria; Pseudomonadales; Pseudomonadaceae. The record is from RNAcentral. RNAcentral also lists the same sequence under 3 other names.